Haliotis rubra (blacklip abalone) is the source of this 249-nucleotide long non-coding RNA. RefSeq lists it as uncharacterized. The record is from RefSeq and is a predicted model, not a curated record. Lineage: Eukaryota; Metazoa; Mollusca; Gastropoda; Lepetellida; Haliotidae. The transcript has 2 exons.
UGAAAGAAGAGGUGGUCCGAUAUUGGGACAGCAUGGACCACGACUUUCUAACUUCUUUGAUCCAUAUUAUACUCGCCGCAUUGAAGCCAACAUUGCUGCCCAUGGUGACUUGACAAAAUACUAACUGUUCACCUGUCUUUGAAUCUGGAGUUAUGUUCUGCUAAUAUUCACAUUUAAUACGUCAGUAAUGAGUGAAAAAGAUAAAAACUUACAAUCUUUAACUUCUCAAUAAGUUCUGGUUGUACUGUA